Molecule: unclassified non-coding RNA, 289 nt
Filed under: uncultured fungus
Lineage: Eukaryota; Fungi
Description: partial contains 5.8S ribosomal RNA, internal transcribed spacer 2, and large subunit ribosomal RNA
Source: RNAcentral
AACGCACCUUGCACUCUUUGGUAUUCCGAAGAGCAUGUCUGUUUGAGUGUCAUGAAACCCUCAACCCCCCUGUUUUGUAAUGGAGCAGGCGUCUGGGUUUGGAUCUGGCCGCUGCCGAUUCUAAUCGAAUCGACUCGGCUCAAAUACAAGAGCUGCCAAUCAAGACUGAUGGUCAACUCGGCGUAAUAAACUACUUUUCGCUGAGGCAUCAAUCUAAUGGCGCUUACAAUGCGUGCUUGCACACUAUACUUUAGACCUCAAAUCAGAUAGGACUACCCGCUGAACUUAA